Molecule: long non-coding RNA, 352 nt
Organism: Mirounga angustirostris (Northern elephant seal)
Lineage: Eukaryota; Metazoa; Chordata; Mammalia; Carnivora; Phocidae
Exons: 3
Source: RefSeq, a predicted model, not a curated record
CUGCCGUCCACAGAGGCUCGGCUAUUUGCACACAGAGGGAGCGAUAUCAUUUGUGGCUUUGAAGAAACAAAGGAUUGACACAGCGAGGGUCUCCCUCUGGACAUUCUUUUCCCUGGGGCCCAGGCCAGUCUGCAGGGCCGCACUCCCAGCAGCUUCUGAGGGAACCCCAGCUUUGUUGCAGACAGUGCUCUCCCAGGAUUGUGGUCAUUUCAUCCGGCAGCUGAAGACCCGCGCAGCGCCCCCCACCGCCACCCCCAGGUAACUGCACAGAACAGCAAGAAGGCGCUUGGGGGAGGUGGAGAAUUCCGCUCCUCAUGGAAUUUGGAGAGCAAGCUUGAGCUGGGAAUUCAGC